AAAAAAAAACCUAAUCCCUUUGCUCAGGCUUCUUCUCUGUUAUGUUCGGUUGUUCCUCAACAAGAUAUCUUGUUUCAUUCAUAGUUUUAUCAUCGGGUUACUUCAUCGUCCGUCAACUGAUCAAUCUCCGCCAUCUACAGAUAUUUUUUUGAUUUUUUUUUUGUUUUUUUUUUGUUAUUUCAGUAGACAUAUGUAAUUUUAGGAAUUAUUUAUGUGUUACAUGUCCAUUUGUUCUGGUUAUAUGAAGAUAAUUGAAAUUCUUGAUCGUGUUGUACCGUGUAGAGCGAUUAACGCAGAGUUUUUGUUGUUCUUUGGUAUUUUCGAUUUUUUUUCUCCCAUUUCUUCCCUAUUUCAGAAAAUUCCGAAAAUUUCCGAAAUUCCGAAAAUUCCGAAAAUUUCGGAAUCGGAAUUCAUUUUCAGAUUCCGAAUAUUUCGGAAUCGGAAUCGGAAAUGAGAUCUCAGUUCCGAAAAAAAUCGGAAAAUUUCCGAAAGGCCUAUUUCCGAUCCGAUCCGUCCGAUUUCCACCCCUA
RNAcentral lists this long non-coding RNA (530 nucleotides) under Erythranthe guttata (spotted monkey flower). RNAcentral describes it as "long non-coding RNA (EGUT_LNC001406)". The record is from RNAcentral. Lineage: Eukaryota; Viridiplantae; Streptophyta; Magnoliopsida; Lamiales; Phrymaceae.